GUUAAGUCAGGCAACGAGCGAGACCCACGCCACAGUUGCCAGCAUGUCCUCCGGGGAUGAUGGGGACACUGUUGGGACCGCCUCUGCUAAAGAGGAGGAAGGAAUGGGGCAACGGUAGGUCAGCAUGCCCCGAAUUAUCCGGGCUACACGCGGGCUACAAUGGUCAGGACAAUGGGUAUCAACACCGAAAGGUGAAGGCAAUCUCCUAAACCUGUCCUUAGUUCGGAUUGUGGGCUGCAACUCGCCCACAUGAAGCUGGAAUCUGUAGUAAUCGCGUCUCAAAUGGCGCGGUGAAUAUGUCCCUGCUCCUU
This 311-nucleotide ribosomal RNA is filed under the name uncultured Methanolinea sp. RNAcentral's name for it is "bacterial SSU rRNA". It matches the Rfam family "Archaeal small subunit ribosomal RNA", at positions 1028 to 1338 of the family's 1478-position model. The record is from RNAcentral. Lineage: Archaea; Methanobacteriati; Methanobacteriota; Methanomicrobia; Methanomicrobiales; Methanoregulaceae.